CGCUGGCGGCAGGCCUAACACAUGCAAGUCGAGCGGUAGAGAGGUGCUUGCACCUCUUGAGAGCGGCGGACGGGUGAGUAAUACCUAGGAAUCUGCCUGGUAGUGGGGGAUAACGUUCGGAAACGGACGCUAAUACCGCAUACGUCCUACGGGAGAAAGCAGGGGACCUUCGGGCCUUGCGCUAUCAGAUGAGCCUAGGUCGGAUUAGCUAGUUGGUGAGGUAAUGGCUCACCAAGGCUACGAUCCGUAACUGGUCUGAGAGGAUGAUCAGUCACACUGGAACUGAGACACGGUCCAGACUCCUACGGGAGGCAGCAGUGGGGAAUAUUGGACAAUGGGCGAAAGCCUGAUCCAGCCAUGCCGCGUGUGUGAAGAAGGUCUUCGGAUUGUAAAGCACUUUAAGUUGGGAGGAAGGGCAUUAACCUAAUACGUUAGUGCUUUGACGUUACCGACAGAAUAAGCACCGGCUAACUCUGUGCCAGCAGCCGCGGUAAUACAGAGGGUGCAAGCGUUAAUCGGAAUUACUGGGCGUAAAGCGCGCGUAGGUGGUUUGUUAAGUUGAAUGUGAAAUCCCCGGGCUCAACCUGGGAACUGCAUCCAAAACUGGCAAGCUAGAGUAUGGUAGAGGGUAGUGGAAUUUCCUGUGUAGCGGUGAAAUGCGUAGAUAUAGGAAGGAACACCAGUGGCGAAGGCGACUACCUGGACUGAUACUGACACUGAGGUGCGAAAGC
RNAcentral lists this ribosomal RNA (731 nucleotides) under uncultured bacterium. Its description in RNAcentral is "bacterial SSU rRNA". It matches the Rfam family "Bacterial small subunit ribosomal RNA", at positions 34 to 760 of the family's 1533-position model. The record is from RNAcentral.